GACGAACGCUGGCGGCGUGCUUAACACAUGCAAGUCGAACGGAAAGGCCCUGCUUUUGUGGGGUGCUCGAGUGGCGAACGGGUGAGUAACACGUGAGUAACCUGCCCUUGACUUUGAUAACUUCAGGAAACUGGGGCUAAUACCGGAUAGGAGCUCCUGCUGCAUGGUGGGGGUUGGAAAGUUUCGGCGGUUGGGGAUGGACUCGCGGCUUAUCAGCUUGUUGGUGGGGUAGUGGCUUACCAAGGCUUUGACGGGUAGCCGGCCUGAGAGGGUGACCGGCCACAUUGGGACUGAGAUACGGCCCAGACUCCUACGGGAGGCAGCAGUGGGGAAUAUUGCACAAUGGGCGGAAGCCUGAUGCAGCAACGCCGCGUGCGGGAUGACGGCCUUCGGGUUGUAAACCGCUUUCGCCUGUGACGAAGCGUGAGUGACGGUAAUGGGUAAAGAAGCACCGGCUAACUACGUG
This 466-nucleotide ribosomal RNA is filed under the name uncultured bacterium. Its description in RNAcentral is "partial 16S ribosomal RNA". It matches the Rfam family "Bacterial small subunit ribosomal RNA", at positions 28 to 507 of the family's 1533-position model. The record is from RNAcentral.